This 930-nucleotide long non-coding RNA is filed under the name Olea europaea subsp. europaea. Lineage: Eukaryota; Viridiplantae; Streptophyta; Magnoliopsida; Lamiales; Oleaceae. The record is from RNAcentral.
CAGGAGUGAAGCACGGUGUACAAAUGAAAUGCAGAAACAAAACCCUAACCCUUCUUAAACCUUAUAAAAACAUUGCUUCCACUUUCUACAAAAUGUAUGCGGCAAUUCCGUAAUUGUGUGCGGGAAGGGGGAGAUAGUGCUUACGUAAGCCCUAGCCCACUGCCCCUGAUCCUGUUCAAGCCCCGUCAAGUGAGCAACAGCAGAGAAACUCAGCAAUGGCGAAGAAGCAAUCUGAAAACUCGGUCCAAUUAAAGCCUAACCACAAAUCUCUAUUGGCCUAUCCAUCGCUUUCUGGAUCGAAAAUAGUGGCUUUUCUAUAGCUCUCGAACACUUUAUCUCCGAAGCUCAAAUUCAGGUGUAUGCAAUUUAUCUAUUUAUUAUUUAUUUUUCACGGGUGAAUAUAAAUGCUAAUGAAUAAGAAAACGAAAAAGUUUAAGUUGGAUACACUGUUAAAGAUAUGUUAUACUGAAUUGGUGGUUGUACUCUGUUCACGUGUAUUCAUGAACUUUUUCCCUGGAGUGCUGGUAAAAUAUUAUAUAUCUUUCUGAGUUCGUAACUGUAACAAGAGAAGAAAUGGAAUGGAAAAAUUGAAAAUUUUCUGGGGACUGCCAAUGGACUUUCGGGAGUAAACUUCUAGAUAUCCAUAAAAUUUCCUGCUUGUUCCCGAAAACAUUGACAAAGAUGAAGUAACUUUGAUUUUGCUAUAUGUUUGCCUAAUUAUACAUGCAUAUCAGUAGCAAUUUAGGCUAUUGGCGUUGAAUAGUUUUAAACAUGAAGGCUGGUGAAAAGUGUGGAGAAAUAAGAGCAAGAGAGAAAAUGCAGUUUUGAUCGUCAUCCAUAUUAUUCAGUGUUACACUCUUGCAGUUUUUUCAUCGGGACAUAGCGCUGUAAAUUCUAGGUCAGGAUGACGAUUGGAAGGCUAGGACGCUU